UGAACGGCCACAUUGGGACUGAGACACGGCCCAAACUCCCACGGGAGGCAGCAGUAGGGAAUUUUCGGCAAUGGAGGAAACUCUGACCGAGCAACGUCGCGUGAACGAUGAAGUAUUUCGGUAUGUAAAGUUCUUUUAUUGAAGAAGAAAAAAUAGUGGAAAAACUAUCUUGACGCUAUUCAAUGAAUAAGCCCUGGCUAAUUAUGUGCCAGCAGCCGCGGUAAUACAUAAAGGGCGAGCGUUAUCCGGAAUUAUUGGGCGUAAAGGGUGCGUAGGCGGUUUGUUAAGUCUUUAGUUUAAUCUCAGUGCUUAACGCUGUUCUGCUAGAGAAACUGACUUACUAGAGUGAGAUAGAGGCAAGUGGAAUUCCAUGUGUCAGCGGUAAAAUGCGUAAAUAUAUGGAGGAACACCAGAGGCGUAGGCGGCUUGCUGGGUCUUUACUGACGCUGAGGCACGAAAGCGUGGGGAGCAAACAGGAUUAGAUACCCUGGUAGUCCACGCCGUAAACGAUGAGUACUAAGUGUCGGGGAAACUCGGUACUGAAGUUAACACAUUAAGUACUCCGCCUGAGUAGUACGUACGCAAGUAUGAAACUUAAAGGAAUUGACGGGAUCCCGCACAAGCGGUGGAUCAUGUUGUUUAAUUCGAAGAUACACGAAAAACCUUACCAGGUCUUGACAUACUCUGCAAAGCUGUAGAAAUACAGUGGAGGUUAUCAGGGAUACAGGUGGUGCAUGGUUGUCGUCAGCUCGUGUCGUGAGAUGUUAGGUUAAGUCCUAGAACGAGCGCAACCCUUGUCGUUAGUUACCAGCACGUUAUGGUGGGCACUUUAACGAGACUGCCAAUGAAAUAUUGGAGGAAGGUGAGGAUUACGUCAAAUCAUCAUGCCCCUUAUGAUCUGGGCUACAAACGUGAUACAAUGGCUGUUACAAAGAGUAGCUGAAACGUGAG
Molecule: ribosomal RNA, 951 nt
Filed under: Candidatus Phytoplasma pini
Lineage: Bacteria; Bacillati; Mycoplasmatota; Mollicutes; Acholeplasmatales; Acholeplasmataceae
Description: bacterial SSU rRNA
Rfam family: Bacterial small subunit ribosomal RNA
Source: RNAcentral